GUGGGGAAUCUUGCACAAUGGGGGAAACCCUGAUGCAGCGAUGCCGCGUGAGUGAAGAAGGCCCUUGGGUUGUAAAGCUCUUUCGUCGGGGAAGAAAAUGACUGUACCCGAAUAAGAAGGUCCGGCUAACUUCGUGCCAGCAGCCGCGGUAAUACGAAGGGACCUAGCGUAGUUCGGAAUUACUGGGCUUAAAGAGUUCGUAGGUGGUUAAAAAAGUUGGUGGUGAAAUCCCAGAGCUUAACUCUGGAACUGCCAUCAAAACUUUUUAGCUAGAGUAUGAUAGAGGAAAGUAGAAUUUCUAGUGUAGAGGUGAAAUUCGUAGAUAUUAGAAAGAAUACCAAUUGCGAAGGCAGCUUUCUGGAUCAUUACUGACGCUGAGGAACGAAAGCAUGGGUAGCGAAGAGGAUUAGAUACCC
This 416-nucleotide ribosomal RNA is filed under the name alpha proteobacterium SCGC AAA001-A10. RNAcentral describes it as "SSU rRNA". It matches the Rfam family "Bacterial small subunit ribosomal RNA", at positions 354 to 787 of the family's 1533-position model. Lineage: Bacteria; Pseudomonadati; Pseudomonadota; Alphaproteobacteria. The record is from RNAcentral.